RNAcentral lists this unclassified non-coding RNA (1161 nucleotides) under Hevea brasiliensis (rubber tree). The record is from RNAcentral. Lineage: Eukaryota; Viridiplantae; Streptophyta; Magnoliopsida; Malpighiales; Euphorbiaceae.
UAGAAUACUCCAUAUCCCUAUCACAACCAUAGCCAACUUGCUUUGGAUCAUAAUUACUUUAUCAGACCAAAAAUUGUAUUGAAGACCAAUUCAAGUAGUAUCUUAAUUCAAUGCCUACUUAUGGAUCGAGUUAUAACUGUUUAAGAUUUAGAAUGAACCCAGGUCAAACUUAUUGAAAAUUAUCAGAUGGUAGAAUAAAAAAAUGGCUUUAAGUAGUCUACAUUACUAGCCUAGGCCCAGGACCACUGUCUUCAACCCAUCAGCACCCACACCACCACCUACAGUCCAACACUAUGCCAGAAUAACUAACAAAAGAGUAAAUCCUACAAGGGCACACUUAACUCUGUGGCUAGAAGCAAGGACAGAAAACAAAUUAUUCAAGGCAUAUUCAGUCACAUUUUAGUUUUUGGUUUGUCAUCUAAAAAAAAUGUUCAGCUAACUUGAUGUACAUGCACUUUCAUUUUUUUUUUUUUACAAUUUCUGCAAAAGCAUUUUAAAAUAAGAAACAAGAAAAUAGGAAACCAUAAAACAUGGUUUCCUUCUUUUUCGUUUAUAACCUACUUUUCCCAGAAAAGAGGAAUAACCGCUUUAUUUCUCUGUUUCAAAAUUGUUUCACAGUAAAUCCUUUCAAUCUCACCACUGCACCUUUCACUCUCUUCCCCAUGGUUUGCAUCUUCAACUUGCCCUCUCACCCACCAUCGCUUGCCUCCCUUUCUCUCUCACUCAAUAUCUAAGAAUCAGUUACCUUCAUCAUUGUUCUUCACUAAAUCUGCACCAAGUCUCACAAUCAAAUUGUAUAAACCGGCCAGCAGUUCCUUUAUUAAUUGCAGAACAGCUUUAGGUGAGUAUGGUGCAAGUAUUAUUGCCUUUAGAUUUGGAUGAGUUUUUUGUUUAGAAGAUCAAUGACAUGCCAAUAAUAAUUUGUAAUGAUUGUCCACAGGUGUUGAUUGGGAGAUGGUGGUGUUCAGAAUAUGGAAGCCAUGGACUCAUGAAGGAAGAAGAUCGUCAAUAGUGCCUUGGUGGCGGAAAUAAGAAAAAAGAACACAGUUUUUGGUUUGAUUAGAUAAAAGUAGAUAUGAAAGAGAAUAAAAAAAAUAUUUUAUUCAAAACCAGAAACCAAGAUUAAAAACAGUUUUAUGUUUUAAGGGUGGAAAAAAAAAA